UCUAAUAUGGCAGAUUAGUGCAAUGGUCUUAAACUCCAUACAUAAAGUCAAAACUUUUUUUAGAA
Molecule: transfer RNA, 65 nt
Filed under: Tenebrio obscurus (dark mealworm)
Lineage: Eukaryota; Metazoa; Arthropoda; Insecta; Coleoptera; Tenebrionidae
Description: tRNA-Leu
Rfam family: tRNA
About the family: Transfer RNA (tRNA) molecules are approximately 80 nucleotides in length.
Source: RNAcentral